UACGGAGGUGGCGAGCGUUGUUCGGAAUCACUGGGCGUAAAGGGCGCGUAGGCGGGCGGAGAAGUCGCGUGUGAAAGCCCCGGGCUCAACCCGGGAACGGCGCGCGAGACUCUCCGUCUUGAGUUCCGGAGAGGCGGGUGGAAUUCCUGGUGUAGCGGUGAAAUGUGUAGAGAUCAGGAGGAACACCGGUGGCGCAGGCGGCCCGCUGGACGGUGACUGACGCUGAGGCGCGAAAGCGUGGGGAGCAAACGGG
Molecule: ribosomal RNA, 253 nt
Filed under: uncultured bacterium
Lineage: Bacteria
Description: partial 16S ribosomal RNA
Rfam family: Bacterial small subunit ribosomal RNA
Source: RNAcentral